Non-coding RNA from Danio rerio (zebrafish), 7511 nucleotides. The record is from RefSeq and is a predicted model, not a curated record. Lineage: Eukaryota; Metazoa; Chordata; Actinopteri; Cypriniformes; Danionidae.
AUAAAUAAAUGAAAAUCUCACCUGACCUGGUUAGGGUGAGUGAAUAAAGGGAUGAAGCUGAACAGGGAGACAGUGAGUGUUUGUAACAGUCAGUGCUUUUCUCUCGUUCUGUGUGUGAGUCAGUGUUUGGCUGAACCGCGACUUUACUGGAAACCAGAGCGAAGGACGGCUAGAAAACGAGAUGAUGGGGGUUGAAAGGCAGUGUGAGGUGGCAGUACAAAAACAGUCCCAAAGGGAGUUACAGUGGGUCCAGAAACAGCUGUCAAUCAUCUCCAACAGAACCAAUGGACCAAGCAGGAGCAAAGAUAAGAAACUGAAGAAUGAGGUGUUUCCCUUGCAUUUAUCUGGCUUCCCGGCUCAGCAUGUGGAAGCAUAUCGGCUGCUAGAGGACAGGAAACACAAACUCUCACCUGAGACUGCCGCCCUCUGCCUGCUUCGACAACAGCACACACUACUGGAGACUGAGAUCAGCAGGAAGAGGAAGGAGUGUGAAGUCCUUGAGGAGGAGGUGAAGAAAAAGAGCCAGUCAUGUCAAACUCUGGAGAGUGAGCUUCAGCAUGUUCUGCAGGAGAAAGCGCGUCUGAAUCUACGCUUGUUCAACGAUAACCAGAAGGCAGCAAAGUAUGAGCAGGUGAAAAGUGAGUAUGAGCAGCUGCAGGAGGCUCUGUACACUGUGACAGUGGAGAGAGAUUGCGCUCUGUUGGAGAGGACUGAGCUCCAAGGCAAACUGGAGAACCUAGAGCAGGUGCUGAAGCAUAUGCGAGAGGCUGCGGAGAGGAGGCAGCAGCUAGAAUUAGAGCAUGAACAAGCAUUGGCCGUCCUCAGUGCCAAGCAGCAGGAGAUUGACCUUCUGCAGAAGGCUCAGGUUGAGGCUAAGAAGGAACAUGAAGGUGCCGUCCAUCUGUUAGAGAAUCACUUGGACAGCAUGCAGCUGAGAAGUGUCCUUCGCACUAAGAACACAAUGAGAUUUUUGGCUAAAGUGAGAGAACUGGAGGAAAAAUGCCGGACGCAGAGUGAGCAGUUUAACCUGCUUUCAAAAGAGCUAGAGAAGUUCAGGCUGCAGGCUGGGAAGUUGGACAUCUUGAGCAGCAGCCAGUUGACAGGUGGCGAUUCGCCCGGCUCACCCACCAAACCCCUUACCCUCUCCCAACUCCUCAAUGGCCUCACUGCCCCCUCAGGGAAAGGUAAUGAGGAUUCGAUGAGUAAGAUCUCGGAGCUCAUCCGGCCUCUGCAGAUGACUGAGGGGGAAAAGGUAGAGCUCCUGUCUGUCAAACCUAGUUUCCUGUCACGCAGCACACCCUCCAGCCCACGGCGGGCCUUCCUCUCUGAGGUGCGGCCCGUCAUCGCCACUGCUAUGGACAAAGAGCUUGGCUCGUCCCCCAGGUCUAAGUCCAGAUACACAGGCAAAGUGCGUCUGUGUGUUGCCCGCUACAAUUAUAACCCUUACGAUGGCCCCAAUGAGCAUCCUGAAGCAGAGCUCCCCCUGGUGGCUGGGAAGUACCUGUAUGUCUAUGGAACCAUGGAUGAGGACGGCUUCUAUGAGGGGGAGUUGUUGGAUGGACAGCAGGGUCUCGUUCCCUCCAACUUUGUAGACUUUGUCCAGGAUGAGGAGCUCCCCUCGGCUCCUCUCUUGGACCGCAUCAAGGAACCGUCCUACCUCAACCACAGCCCUGCCUCCAUGCCCAGCAGCGCCGUAAGCACUCUCAGCACGCUGCUCUCAGAGAAGCUGGAUGCACUGGGCUCGGGCACCGGGACGGGCACCAGCAGCAGCAGUGGCGUAAGCAGCUUGGGCAUGAGCACGGGGCUGGGCAUCGAUUAUCUGGGACCCUGCAGCAACGGGACAGGCACGCUGGACGUGAACAUCGACGAGAUCGGAGAAGACAUCGUGCCUUACCCUCGCCGCAUUACCUUGAUCAAACAGCUGGCCAAGAGUGUCAUUAUAAGUUGGGACCCUCCAGUGGUGCUGCCCGGAUGGACGCCUAUCAGCGGCUACAAUGUGCUGGUUGACCAGGAGGUGCGCAUGAGCAUUCCCUUCGGUGGACGCACCAAAUCUCUGAUCGAGAAGUUGAACUUGACUGUCUGUACGCACCGCAUCUCCAUCCAGAGCAUGACGGAACGGGGCCUUUCCGAUCCGCUGCGCUGCACACUUCUGGUGGGGAAAGACGUGGUGGUGGCGCCCUAUUACCUUCGUGUGGAGAACAUCACUCAAGCGUCUGCCGAGCUCACCUGGAUGCCGAGCAACAGCAACUACAGUCACAUGAUCUACUUGAAUGAUGUGGAGUAUGAUGUAGUAAAGCCUGGAGGCUACAAAUACCACUUCUACAACCUGAAGCCCAUGACGGUGUAUAAGAUACGGGUGGUGGCGCGACCCCAUCAGAUGCCCUGGCAGCUUCCUCUUGAGCAGAGGGAAAAGAAGGAGGUCUCGGUGGAGUUCUGCACACAGCCAGCCGCUCGCCAUGCGUUCUUGCAAAAACCUGAAGUUGGUACUUCAAGACUGAAUUGCUCCAGUGGUCCUCCUUUACCUCCUCAGGAUGUGCAAGUGCAGUUGGGACAAACACCUGGAGUCUUGCAGAUUCGGUGGAAACCCCCUACCCUCACUCCAAACGGCACUUCCAACGGAGCCAGUGUAAUGGGCUAUAUAGUCUUCACUAAAGGUCAAAAGAUAGCAGAGAUAAUGCACCCUACAGCAGAUUUCGUUACGGUGGAGCUGAACCGUAUCCAGUGUCUGGAAGCACGGGAGGUCAUUGUGAGGACAAUAUCAGCACAAGGAGAGUCGCAGGACUCUCCCGUGGCCACCAUUCCACACAGCCUCCUGGUGCCUCACCCCCAUGGACACCUUCAUCUCCAGUCUCACCCUCAGACUCACCCACCGCCAUACCCGCAAGCCUAUCCCCCUACCCAUCCACAACCGCACGUCCAGCCUCACUCCAUGCCGCCAUCCCAUCCUCAUCCACAACCCCACAUCCACCCCCCACAUUCCUCGUACCCAAUGUCUAAACCCAAACUCCUACCAAGUGCCAGAGACCCCCAUGCCAAAGAGUCAGAGAUGGGCAGGCGAAUGGGGCAGCCCUGGGAGCCGCAUCCCCGGGCACCAUCACCCCUACCGCACCAUUCUCACCAUGGACACACGCUGGAGCCCCCUCAUGUAGAGGGUCGGCGCUCACCCUCCCCUCAGAGGAUCUUACCUCAACCUCAGGGAGUGCCCAUUCCCAAUACAGUGGCCCGCGCUAUGGCCCGCCAGGCAGCGCAGAGAAAUGCCCCAAACAGCAGGGUGGAAAGGAGGAACAUCUUCAGCGACAGGGGAAAUGCCCUGCAUUCUUUAAACUCAGAUGAGGAAGAGGAAGGGUACGAUUCCCCUCAUGCCAGGCGAAAAGGAGCUUCUGUGGACGAGUUUCUGAGAGGUUCUGAGCUCGGCAGACACCAUCAUCACUACAGUCACAGUGACGAGUAUUACACCGAGAGCAGUCGGGGCUCCGAUCUGUCCGACAUUAUGGAGGAGGAUGAGGAGGAGCUGUACUCAGAGAUGCAGCUGGAAGAAGGCCGCCGACGCAGCAUCAACUCACACAACACGCUAAAGGCGUAUUACAGGCGUCAGGAUCUAGCGGUGGAGAGAGACAGUUGGGACCUGCAGAGGGAGGUGGUACGACAGCGCUCCUUGCGAUCACACAAGCGGCUUCACAGCAUCCCGGAGGUUGCAGAGGAGGAUCCAGACACCGGAGUGGAGGUCAUGGGCCAGCGCCUGCGUUUCGAGGAGGCUCGUCCAGGUACUCCCUGCAGAAGCCCACGGCCCUACCACCAAGACUCACGCCAGUCAAACCACCUCUCCCCAAGCAAGUGUGUUCGUAGGCUGCAGAGGCAACGCUCUUCUCCACGCUACACCUCAAUAGAGGAGCGUCCGCCAUGCUGGAGCAGCAGUAGUAGCAGGCAGACCACCAAGAGCCCUGACAGUGGACUAGACUGCGGCAGUGAGGAGGAGGGUUCUCUUGGUUACCGCGGAGGCUACCACUCUUACAUGGGGGGCAGCCCACUGCGUGUGGGUUCUGGCCCUAACAUGCGGUUAAUCCACAGCGAGGGACCGGUGGAGCGACGCGCUCUUGCUGCUGGCAGGAAAAGGACAUUGACCCGGCAGUGCAGUGUGGAGGAGGACUUCCUCGAUGCCAUUCCAGAGACAAGGAGCAUGCGAGAGUCGUACCACCACUACCACUACCAUCCGCACCAUCACCAUCCCCAGCGCAGAUUCCGCAGCGAGGGCAGGCUGAGCGAGGUUGGCAGGACCUAUCACAGGGACAUUAGGGCCUACUCUGUGGCCAGACUCAACAGGGCAAUGGAUGAACCCCUGAUUUUAGGGAGCUCUCCCUCAACGGGACGCUCGGAUCGACUGGACCAUUCUGGCCGUAGGACAGGUCAUGGCUGUCCACCAGCUCAGAGAAGACCAAUGACGGUCCCUUCUAUUGAGAUUACCAUGGAGAAUAACAGUGAGGGGAGUGAGGGGAACCUCUCACCAAUCAAGGACGAUGUUUACUAUACCAAUGUAGCCCACCGCAGGAAAUGGCCCGCACAGCGAACAGAGCACCGAUAUGAUGGUUACGGACGUGAACGGCGGUCUCCAGACUACUAUGAGUCAGAGCCAGAGGACUUGUCUCGAAUCUUUGUGGCCAUGUUUGACUAUGAUCCCCUGUCAAUGUCACCCAACCCUGAUGCUGCUGUUGAGGAACUUCCCUUCAAGGAGGGCCAGAUCAUAAAGGUGUUUGGAGAAAAGGACACAGAUGGAUUCUACAGGGCAGAGAUCUGUGGCCGCAGGGGCCUCGUCCCCUGUAACAUGGUCUCUGAGAUCCAGACGGAUGAUGAUGAAAUGAUGGACCAGCUGCUCAAACAGGGCUUUCUUCCACUCAACACACCCAUUGAGAAAAUAGUAAACUGCAAUAGGUUCAAAGAUGGCCGUUCAGUUAAUCGCAGGUCCCGGAAAUCCAAAAGAGAAAGGAACAAAAGGAGUGGAAGACAGCAUGCAGUGUCGACGCGGAGGAUGGUGGCACUGUAUGAUUAUGACCCCAGAGAAAGCUCGCCUAAUGUAGAUGUGGAGGCCCGCUAUGGGGGCAGCUUGCAGAGCGAGGAGGCUGAGCUGACGUUUUGUGCAGGUGAUGUGAUCACAGUGUUUGGAGAGAUCGACGAGGAUGGCUUUUACUAUGGGGAGCUCAAUGGACACAAAGGUCUGGUCCCCUCCAACUUUCUCGAAGAAGUGCCUGAUGACGUGGAGGUUUACCUCACCAACACCCCGAGCCGUCACCCACAGGACCACCCAUCCCGGACAAAGAACAAAAGGAAGAAGAGUGUUCAUUUCACUCCGUAACGGCUCAGUAUCUGUCACGUUUGAUUUGGCUCCAACACCCUUGGUGAAGUUACCAUGCUGAAAGGUGAUAGAUUACUUCAAAAGACUGGUCCCCGUGGAAAAAGCGGGCCCUCCCAGAAGAAGUGCCACCCCCACAGUGCGCCCACACACCCCAGGGCUCUGUGGUCCCGUCCGGAGCCCCCGAGCUGAAUCUCAGAAAACAGGACUGCUCUCCAAAGGAAAGAGUCUGUUGAAAAGGCUUGGUGCUGUCAAAUAGUUUCACAUUCGUUCUCAACACAGCAGCCGGGUUUAGGAGAUUGGAAUUAAAGAGAAAGUGAUAGAAGAGGUGGGGAGAAGAAGGAAAACAAUCCCCCAUCAUAGUUUUUUCACAUGCACUGGAUCAAACAUGUAACAUAGAAAGAGAAAUGGUGCAAACUAGGGCUUUCAUGACCACUACGUUGAUGAAACUGUAAACUCUGUUUGCCGUGUUUGAUUAUAAAAAGCACAGAAAUGCUCGCUAAUGUGAGUUAUUAUGAUGUCCUGUCUUAAAAACACAGUAAUCAAAUGCAAUCAAUACUAUAUUAAAAACAACAAUAUUUAUUAUUGUUAUGCUCACUGUUUUGAUUUAAUGUGAUGUCUUAAAUAUCACUGUAAAACAGGGAAAAUUAAAUACAGCUUAUACUUCUAUUUAAUUUGUUAUAAAGAAUAUAUAUAUAUAUAUAUAUAUAUAUAUUCAUUUAUUAUUGUUAUAAUUAACAACAACAAGGUGAAUAUUCAUUUAAAAUGAUAAAUUAUGCUAAUAUUAUAAAUAUAGUUGUACAAGGGAUGUGUGAGAUAAAGAUACACCAUUGAUAUUUAUUAAAUUAGAAGAAUAUUUAAAAGGAUAUAUUUAAGGGAUAUUUAGCUGUUGCCAUUUUUGCACAUUUUAGAUAAUCUAGACCUUUUUUCCACUAUAAGAAGGAUACCCAGCACAAAUGUAUAGGAGUUAGCACAAAUAUGCAAUGGGGAUAUGCAGUAAACCUUCUGUAUAUAUCCACAAACACCAUGAGAGGAAACAAUGUUUUACUUUUCUUUAAUUCAUUUGUUUUUGUUUAUAUUUUUAUUGUUAUUUUAAUUUAUUUUUUAAGUACUAAAUGGUCAUGAAACUCCUAGUGGAAGCGAGUCUCCUCAUAUUUGCCUUACUCAAUGCACAAUGGUUUGUGUUGUGGCUGAGACUGGUCUGUUUUGUGUUGUGUGCAGUCAUGUCGACGAUUCCCUCAUCAAGCAGCACUGUAUUUCAAAUCUGUCUCACCAAGUGUUGUGUUGUUGUUUGCAAUGGUUGUCAUAAGUAGGAAAGGAUAGACUUUCACUUCGUUUAAACAACAACAAAAAAAAAACAUUCAAGUUGUUCAUUUACUUUCGCAUGUAAAUUGUAAUUGAAACAAUUUACAUUAUCAUGCUUUUAUAUACAAUUUACACAAAAGUGCGAUAUGUUUUCAUGAACGAAGACCUUAUUUAGCACAAAUUGACAUGAUUAUUAGCCUCUCAUAAUAUCCAAACCAUUCGAAUAACAUAUCCGUGUAGGAAAUGAUCAGUUGUGAAUGUAUGGCCAAGGAAAACUUUCCCAGUUCAAAACUUUCCUACUGUACUGUAUUUCCUCUCCAGACAUUGCUCGUAUUCAUUUGUUUGUUCAUCAUUUCAUCUUUAUUUUUGCCCUGAACGAACAUGCUAAAGUAGGUUUGCAAGUAUGGACCGAGACUGCCAAAAAAAAAAGGAAUGUAUGAGAAGCAUUCUGUAUAUCUUGUACAAUUUACAGCCAAACUCCAGGUGUUCAAUUCAUCAGAAUAAACGUGUUUUCUUGUCUUUUUUGUUUCUUUUCCGUUUUAAUCAUUUAAUCAUGAGAUAUGUUACGGAGCAUCGCUUCUACAUGUUUGAGUGACUGCUGCUCUUUUUGUACUUUUUGUCCAUUUGUACAUUCUUUUUAAAUGUUUCUACUUGCUUUUCAGACUGCCUUUUUUGUACAUUCAACUUUAUAUUCUGACAGUGGAAGCUUUCCUCACGGUGUCUUCAAACCAUAACGUUUUAAAGUCUGCAAUUGUGUGCUAGCUUUAUGAAAAAGAAUUAUAAGCCUAUAUUGAUGGUUAUCAAAUAUUGUGUGAGUGUGCAUGUGCAGUUUUAUAUCAAAAUAAAUUUGAUAUUUUAUACA